UACGGGGGGGGCGAGCGUUGUUCGGAAUUACUGGGCGUAAAGGGCUCGUAGGUGGCCAACUAAGUCAGACGUGAAAUCCCCAGGCUCAACUUGGGAACUGCGUCUGAUACUGGAUGGCUUGAAUUCGGGAGAGGGAUGCAGAAUUCCAGGUGUAGCGGUGAAAUGCGUAGAUAUCUGGAGGAAUACCGGUGGCGAAGGCGGCAUCCUGGACCGACAUUGACGCUGAUGAGCGAAAGCUAGGGGAGCAAACGGG
RNAcentral lists this ribosomal RNA (253 nucleotides) under uncultured bacterium. Its description in RNAcentral is "partial 16S ribosomal RNA". It matches the Rfam family "Bacterial small subunit ribosomal RNA", at positions 524 to 776 of the family's 1533-position model. The record is from RNAcentral.